This 465-nucleotide ribosomal RNA is filed under the name Vreelandella stevensii. RNAcentral describes it as "partial 16S ribosomal RNA". It matches the Rfam family "Bacterial small subunit ribosomal RNA", at positions 338 to 795 of the family's 1533-position model. Lineage: Bacteria; Pseudomonadati; Pseudomonadota; Gammaproteobacteria; Oceanospirillales; Halomonadaceae. The record is from RNAcentral.
CCUACGGGUGGCUGCAGUGGGGAAUAUUGGACAAUGGGCGAAAGCCUGAUCCAGCCAUGCCGCGUGUGUGAAGAAGGCCUUCGGGUUGUAAAGCACUUUCAGUGGGGAAGAAAGCCUUGGGGCUAAUACCCUCGAGGAAGGACAUCACCCACAGAAGAAGCACCGGCUAACUCCGUGCCAGCAGCCGCGGUAAUACGGAGGGUGCGAGCGUUAAUCGGAAUUACUGGGCGUAAAGUGCGCGUAGGCGGUCUGAUAAGCCGGUUGUGAAAGCCCCGGGCUCAACCUGGGAACGGCAUCCGGAACUGUCAGGCUAGAGUGCAGGAGAGGAAGGUAGAAUUCCCGGUGUAGCGGUGAAAUGCGUAGAGAUCGGGAGGAAUACCAGUGGCGAAGGCGGCCUUCUGGACUGACACUGACGCUGAGGUGCGAAAGCGUGGGUAGCAAACAGGAUUAGAUACCCCGGUAGUC